CGCGCUGAUGACCGAAGCAGUUAUUUGUUUGCACAUUUCCUGAGGAGACCCCUCCGGUGAACGACCCGACAACUUCUAAGAACACCAGCUGACA
Small nucleolar RNA from Leptomonas pyrrhocoris, 94 nucleotides. It matches the Rfam family "Small nucleolar RNA TBR6". From Rfam's summary of the family: TBR6 was one of seventeen snoRNAs identified in Trypanosoma brucei. Together with TBR2, TBR12 and TBR4 it is a part of snoRNA gene cluster that is tandemly repeated. Lineage: Eukaryota; Euglenozoa; Kinetoplastea; Trypanosomatida; Trypanosomatidae. The record is from Rfam.